GAACUGAAGAGUUUGAUCCUGGCUCAGAUUGAACGCUAGCGGGAUGCCUUACACAUGCAAGUCGAACGGCAGCAUCAGAGAGCUUGCUCUCUGGAUGGCGAGUGGCGAACGGGUGAGUAAUGUAUCGGAACGUGCCCAGUAGCGGGGGAUAACUACGCGAAAGCGUAGCUAAUACCGCAUACGGCUACGGGGGAAAGGGGGGGAUCGCAAGACCUCUCACUAUUGGAGCGGCCGAUAUCGGAUUAGCUAGUUGGUGAGGUAACGGCUCACCAAGGCGACGAUCCGUAGCUGGUUUGAGAGGACGACCAGCCACACUGGGACUGAGACACGGCCCAGACUCCUACGGGAGGCAGCAGUGGGGAAUUUUGGACAAUGGGGGCAACCCUGAUCCAGCCAUCCCGCGUGUGCGAUGAAGGCCUUCGGGUUGUAAAGCACUUUUGUCAGGGAAGAAAAGUUCGAGGUUAAUACCUUCGGACGCUGA
This 481-nucleotide non-coding RNA is filed under the name Pelistega indica. RNAcentral describes it as "Bacterial small subunit ribosomal RNA". It matches the Rfam family "Bacterial small subunit ribosomal RNA", at positions 1 to 482 of the family's 1533-position model. The record is from Rfam by way of RNAcentral. Lineage: Bacteria; Pseudomonadati; Pseudomonadota; Betaproteobacteria; Burkholderiales; Alcaligenaceae.